UGAGCAGCACAAGUGACCGCGCCCAUUCAGACGAAAGGGAAUGGGUGAGGAAAGUCCGAGCUUCACAGGGCAGGAUGCCGGAUAACGUCCGGUGGAGGCGACUCCCAGGCUAGUGCAACAGAAAUAUACCGCCACGGCUUUGCCCGUGGUAAGGUUGGAAUGGCGAGGUAAGAGCUCACCGCCUCUCUGGUAACAGGGAGGGCAUAUGUAAACCCCAUCCGAAGCAAGACCGAACAGGAAGCAAUACGGCGGCCCGUCGUGCUUUCGGGUAGGUCGCUAGAGCCUGUUGGCAACAGCAGGUCCAGAUAGAUGGUCACUCAACGACAGAACUCGGCUUAUCGUGCUGCUCAUAUG
This 354-nucleotide RNase P RNA is filed under the name Clostridium sp. RNAcentral's name for it is "RNase P RNA component class A". It matches the Rfam family "Bacterial RNase P class A". Rfam says of the family: Ribonuclease P (RNase P) is a ubiquitous endoribonuclease, found in archaea, bacteria and eukarya as well as chloroplasts and mitochondria. Lineage: Bacteria; Bacillati; Bacillota; Clostridia; Eubacteriales; Clostridiaceae. The record is from RNAcentral. RNAcentral also lists the same sequence under 4 other names.